This 468-nucleotide ribosomal RNA is filed under the name uncultured bacterium. RNAcentral's name for it is "partial 16S ribosomal RNA". It matches the Rfam family "Bacterial small subunit ribosomal RNA", at positions 28 to 507 of the family's 1533-position model. The record is from RNAcentral.
GACGAACGCUGGCGGCGUGCUUAACACAUGCAAGUCGAACGGAAAGGCCCUGCUUUUGUGGGGUGCUCGAGUGGCGAACGGGUGAGUAACACGUGAGUAACCUGCCCUUGACUUUGGGAUAACUUCAGGAAACUGGGGCUAAUACCGGAUAGGAGCUCCUGCUGCAUGGUGGGGGUUGGAAAGUUUCGGCGGUUGGGGAUGGACUCGCGGCUUAUCAGCUUGUUGGUGGGGUAGUGGCUUACCAAAGCUUUGACGGGUAGCCGGCCUGGGAGGGGGACCGGCCACAUUGGGACUGGGAUACGGCCCAGACUCCUACGGGAGGCAGCGGUGGGGAAUAUUGCACAAUGGGCGGAAGCCUGAUGCAGCAACGCCGCGUGCGGGAUGACGGCCUUCUGGUUGUGAACCGCUUUCGCCUGUGACGAGGCGUGAGUGACGGUAAUGGGUAAAGAAGCACCGGCUAACUACGUG